This 29-nucleotide non-coding RNA is filed under the name Mus musculus (house mouse). Lineage: Eukaryota; Metazoa; Chordata; Mammalia; Rodentia; Muridae. The record is from RNAcentral.
UCACAUAUUGCCUUUGUCCGAUUGUCUUG